AGCUCAGUUGGUUAGAGCACCACCUUGACAUGGUGGGGGUCACUGGUUCGAGUCCAGCA
RNAcentral lists this transfer RNA (59 nucleotides) under Parahaemophilus parainfluenzae. RNAcentral's name for it is "Haemophilus parainfluenzae tRNA-Val". It matches the Rfam family "tRNA", at positions 9 to 63 of the family's 71-position model. From Rfam's summary of the family: Transfer RNA (tRNA) molecules are approximately 80 nucleotides in length. Their secondary structure includes four short double-helical elements and three loops (D, anti-codon, and T loops). The record is from RNAcentral. Lineage: Bacteria; Pseudomonadati; Pseudomonadota; Gammaproteobacteria; Pasteurellales; Pasteurellaceae.